GUGGUCAGCAUCAGAGCAUCCACAGGUGCGC
This 31-nucleotide non-coding RNA is filed under the name Homo sapiens (human). The record is from RNAcentral. Lineage: Eukaryota; Metazoa; Chordata; Mammalia; Primates; Hominidae.